CCUUCGGUGGUUAGUGGCGCACGGGUUUCGUAACACGUGGUUGACCUACCCCAAAGUAAGGGAUAACGGUCCGAAAGGACUGCUAAUACCUUAUAAGCUCCCGGUGUUUAGAAAACUGGGAGAAAAGUUCCGGCGCUUUGGGCGGGGACUGCGGACCAUCAGCUAGUUGGUGUGGUAACGGCACACCAAGGCGACGACGGAUAGGGGACCUGAGAGGGUGGCCCCCCACACUGGAACUGAGACACGGUCCAGACUCCUACGGGAGGCAGCAGUGAGGAAUAUUGCACAAUGGGCGCAAGCCUGAUGCAGCGACGCCGCGUGGGUGAUGAAGGUUUUCGGAUCGUAAAGCCCUUUUCUAGAUGACGAGUAAGGACGGNUAGUCUAGGAAUAAGUGUCNGCUAACUACNNUGCCANCAGCCGCGGUAAAACGUAAGGACACAAGCGUUAUCCGGAGUUACUGGGCGUUAAGGGCGUGUANGC
RNAcentral lists this ribosomal RNA (480 nucleotides) under uncultured Anaerolinea sp. RNAcentral describes it as "bacterial SSU rRNA". It matches the Rfam family "Bacterial small subunit ribosomal RNA", at positions 82 to 576 of the family's 1533-position model. The record is from RNAcentral. Lineage: Bacteria; Bacillati; Chloroflexota; Anaerolineae; Anaerolineales; Anaerolineaceae.